CUACGGGCGGCUCCAGUGGGGAAUAUUGGGCAAUGGGGGAAACCCUGACCCAGCAACGCCGCGUGAAGGAUGAAGGCUUUCGGGUUGUAAACUUCUUUGAUCGGGGAAGAACCAAGACGGUACCCGAGGAACAAGCCACGGCUAACUACGUGCCAGCAGCCGCGGUAAUACGUAGGUGGCAAGCGUUGUCCGGAAUUACUGAGUGUAAAGGGCGCGUAGGCGGGAAGGCAAGUCAGAAGUGAAAUCCCGGGGCUCAACCCCGGAACUGCUUCUGAAACUGUUUUUCUUGAGUGUCGGAGAGGAAAGUGGAAUUCCCAGUGUAGCGGUGAAAUGCGUGGAGAUUGGGAGGAACACCAGUGGCGAAGGCGGCUUUCUGGACGAUAACUGACGCUGAGGCGCGAAAGCGUGGGGAGCAAACAGGAUUAGAUACCCCUGUAGUC
Molecule: ribosomal RNA, 440 nt
Filed under: uncultured bacterium
Lineage: Bacteria
Description: partial 16S ribosomal RNA
Rfam family: Bacterial small subunit ribosomal RNA
Source: RNAcentral